RNAcentral lists this ribosomal RNA (99 nucleotides) under uncultured bacterium. RNAcentral's name for it is "partial 16S ribosomal RNA". The record is from RNAcentral.
CCGUCGGUCGUAAGCUCUGUUGUACGGAAGAACGCGGAUACAGCUAACAUCUGUAUCCGGUGACGGUACCGUAUAAGAAAGGACCGGCUAACUUCGUGC